AGAAGACGGUGAUUCCUCUCCAUUCUCGACCCGGCAGCCAAAGUCUUCAAACUUCCAAAUUUUCAAUCCCACAUAAAAUUUCUACAAAAUUAAGGAACACAUUACCCAAAUCAAAUAUUUCAUCUCUUAAAAGUUAUUUUGCUCCACAGUGGCUUUUGAACUGGACAACUUAUAAGUAUUUUCGGUUUCGAAAUUCAAUGUUAAGUAACUUUAGUUUCUUAGAUUUUAUUACUUGGACCGUCUUUUAUAUAUAUUUUUCGUUAAUAAUUUAAUAUUGAUUAUUGAGUAUGAGUUUUUGAAAAAUCCAAGUUUUUUUUUUGCAAUUCGUUGAAAAUGGCCUAAUGAUUUUUAUUUUUUUUUUUUUUUUUUUUUUUUUUGCAGUUUGUUGAAAUGGCCUGAUGAUUUUUUAUUUUUUUUUAGUUUUUUCAUAGUACUUGAGCAUUUUUCAAAUUUUCUGAUUUGAGAAUUCAAUUUAUAUUAAUUUUGACAGUAGUUUUUCACCUUAGUUAAUUGAAUUAUUUUUAAAUUUCAAAAAUGCAGUAAAUUUUUCACGGCACCCACAGGCAUGUAGGAAGGGGAACUGCAAAGGCUUAAAUAUACUCCAUAGUAAGUAAAUCUCGUUAUCUCCCUACUUGUGGCCUUGUUGGCAAAAUAUUGAAAUUGUUGCCUAUUUAUCUUGUUGGUCAAUAAGUUAAUUAAUUAUUUUUGAAAUGUUGUCUUAUCGGCUUAAUAACUUUUGUUGACAUCUUGCUUUAUCGGUUUAAUGAUUGUUGUUGUUGCCUUGUCGGUCAAUCGGCCCAAUGAAUUAUUUUUGUUGCCUUAUCGGCUUAACGAAUUAUAUUUACUUUUAAAUUUUAGCCCGUACGCUAAAUAUUUCUGGAUCCGCCCUGACUUUGGGUCUAAAUUUUUAUUCUGGGCUUGAAGGGUAUAAUCAUCAUUUAUCAGCUAACCACUUUUGCAAUAUGAUAAAUGAAGAUUGAACAAAUAAUGUUUUUAAAUUUGAAUUUGAAUGUCACUGGGAAUUUUUUUGAGUUCGUAUGUUCAGAUCUUUAUAUCAGAAUUCUAAAGGGUUUCACAAGUUUGAAUAGUUUUACAUAUGUUUUGAUAAUCAGUUAGCUAAUUUGAAAAUAAAAAUCAUAAUAUAUUGGAAUAGACAGUGCUGUGCUGGACUUGAUCAUGUCCCUCCCAGGCCCUGUUGGGCGACAUUUUUGUCAUUAAUGUUUUAGAAUGAAUAGAAAAACAUUAACAUUGAUAGAAUUACUUAGGUGAAGAUACAGCAGCAGUGAAGAAGAAGAGUACAAUUGCUGAUAUAUCAUCCAUUGCUAUUCCCUUUCUCUUCUUCUUCCAUGCAUGGACAGCACACUCCACGAGACGCCUAGCCGAUUUUGCC
RNAcentral lists this long non-coding RNA (1390 nucleotides) under Olea europaea (common olive). RNAcentral's name for it is "long non-coding RNA (OEUR_LNC005441)". The record is from RNAcentral. Lineage: Eukaryota; Viridiplantae; Streptophyta; Magnoliopsida; Lamiales; Oleaceae.